RNAcentral lists this ribosomal RNA (253 nucleotides) under uncultured bacterium. RNAcentral's name for it is "partial 16S ribosomal RNA". It matches the Rfam family "Bacterial small subunit ribosomal RNA", at positions 524 to 776 of the family's 1533-position model. The record is from RNAcentral.
UACGGAGGGGGCUAGCGUUGCUCGGAAUCACUGGGCGUAAAGCGCACGUAGGCGGACUCUUAAGUCGGGGGUGAAAUCCUGGAGCUCAACUCCAGAACUGCCUUCGAUACUGGGAGUCUUGAGUUCGGGAGAGGUGAGUGGAACUGCGAGUGUAGAGGUGAAAUUCGUAGAUAUUCGCAAGAACACCAGUGGCGAAGGCGGCUCACUGGCCCGAUACUGACGCUGAGGUGCGAAAGCGUGGGGAGCAAACAGG